This 903-nucleotide ribosomal RNA is filed under the name uncultured bacterium. RNAcentral's name for it is "bacterial SSU rRNA". It matches the Rfam family "Bacterial small subunit ribosomal RNA", at positions 8 to 916 of the family's 1533-position model. The record is from RNAcentral.
AGAGUUUGAUCCUGGCUCAGAACGAACGCUGGCGGCGUGGAUUAGGCAUGCAUGUCGAACGAUCCCGCAAGGGAUAGUGGCGAAAGGGUGCGUAACACGUGGGCAAUCUGCCCCCGAAACGGGAAUAACUUCGGGAAACCGAAGCUAAUACCUGAUGACACCGAGCUGCCGCAUGGUGGCACGGUGAAAGGCGUCCGCAAGGGUGCCGAUCGGGGAUGAGCCCGCGGCCUAUCAGCUAGUUGGUGAGGUAACGGCCCACCAAGGCGAUGACGGGUAGCCGGCCUGAGAGGGUGGUCGGCCACAUUGGGACUGAGACACUGCUCAGACUCCUACGGGAGGCUGCAGUCGAGGAUCUUCCGCAAUGGGGGAAACCCUGACGGAGCGACGCCGCGUGGAGGAUGAAGGCCUUCGGGUCGUAAACUCCUGUCAGUCUGGAAGAAAAUCUGCAGCAAUGUGGAUUGACCGUACAGGCAGAGGAAGCUCCGGCUAACUCCGUGCCAGCAGCCGCGGUAAUACGGAGGGAGCGAGCGUUGUUCGGAAUCAUUGGGCGUAAAGGGCAUGUAGGCGGCUCUGUAAGUCGGGUGUGAAAUCCCAUCUCUCAAGGGUGGAACGGCAUUCGAAACUGCAGGGCUUGAGUUCGGGGGAAGAGAGCGGAAUUCUCGGUGUAGCGGUGAUAUGCGUAGAUAUCGAGAAGAACACCAGCGGCGUAAGCGGCUCUCUAUCCUGAAACUGACGCUGAGGUGCGAAAGCCAGGGGAGCGAACGGGAUUAGAUACCCCGGUAGUCCUGGCCAUAAACGAUGUGCACUUGGUGUUGGGCCGCGAGGCUCAGUGCCGAAGCUAACGCAUUAAGUGCACCGCCUGGGGAGUACGACCGCAAGGUUGAAACUCAAAGGAAUUGACGG